RNAcentral lists this ribosomal RNA (482 nucleotides) under uncultured bacterium. Its description in RNAcentral is "partial 16S ribosomal RNA". It matches the Rfam family "Bacterial small subunit ribosomal RNA", at positions 28 to 523 of the family's 1533-position model. The record is from RNAcentral.
GACGAACGCUGACGGCGUGCUUAACACAUGCAAGUCGAACGAUGAAACCUAGCUUGCUAGGUCGAUUAGUGGCGAACGGGUGAGUAACACGUGACUAACCUGCCCCUUUCUCUGGGAUAACGCUCCGAAAGGAGUGCUAAUACCGGAUACUCACACCGAGGCACAUGCCUUGGUAUGGAAAGUUUUUCGGAAAGGGAUGGAGUCGCGGCCUAUCAGCUUGUUGGUGAGGUAACGGCUCACCAAGGCGACGACGGGUAGCCGGCCUGAGAGGGCGACCGGCCACACUGGGACUGAGACACGGCCCAGACUCCUACGGGAGGCAGCAGUGGGGAAUAUUGCACAAUGGGCGCAAGCCUGAUGCAGCGACGCCGCGUGAGGGAUGAAGGUCUUCGGAUUGUAAACCUCUUUCAGUAGGGACGAAGCGAAAGUGACGGUACCUAAAGAAGAAGCACCGGCUAACUACGUGCCAGCCGCCGCGGUAA